RNAcentral lists this small nucleolar RNA (107 nucleotides) under Salix viminalis (osier). It matches the Rfam family "Plant small nucleolar RNA R71". Rfam says of the family: R71 is a member of the C/D box family of snoRNAs containing the C (UGAUGA) and D (CUGA) box motifs. Multiple nearly identical copies of this snoRNA have been identified in Arabidopsis, and it is thought to function as a 2'-O-ribose methylation guide for 18S ribosomal RNA. The record is from RNAcentral. Lineage: Eukaryota; Viridiplantae; Streptophyta; Magnoliopsida; Malpighiales; Salicaceae.
AUUUGAUGAUGAGGGCAUUGAAUGCACAAUAUCUCAAAUCUUUCCCAAUACUUAGUGAGCGUCUCUCCAUGAGAUUGUCGAAUCCCAUAUAUUUCUUUCCUUAUAUU